This 253-nucleotide ribosomal RNA is filed under the name uncultured bacterium. RNAcentral's name for it is "partial 16S ribosomal RNA". It matches the Rfam family "Bacterial small subunit ribosomal RNA", at positions 524 to 776 of the family's 1533-position model. The record is from RNAcentral.
UACAGAGGCCACGAGCGUUAGUCGGAAUCACUGGGCUUAAAGGGUGCGUAGGCGGGCUUGUAAGCGUCUUGUGAAAGCCCCCGGCUCAACCGGGGAACAGCAGGGCGAACUGCGAGUCUUGAGGCAAGUAGGGGCGGGAAGAACAGUCGGUGGAGCGGUGAAAUGCGUAGAUAUCGACUGGAAUGCCGAUGGUGAAGACGUCCCGCUGGGCUUGUCCUGACGCUGAGGCACGAAAGCGUGGGGAGCAAACAGG